Molecule: ribosomal RNA, 531 nt
Filed under: uncultured marine eukaryote
Lineage: Eukaryota
Description: SSU rRNA
Rfam family: Eukaryotic small subunit ribosomal RNA
Source: RNAcentral
GCNUGCUUGCUCAANCCAAGCCAUGCAUGUCUAAGUAUAAAUGGUAUACAAUGAAACUGCGAAUGGCUCAUUAAAACAGNUAUAGUUUAUUUGGUAAUCGAAUUUACAUGGAUAACCGUGGUAAUUCUAGAGCUAAUACAUGCAGUAAGCCCGACUUAAAGGAAGGGCCGUAUUUAUUAGAUAACAGACCAAUAUUCCUCGNGUCUAUUGNGGUGAAUCAUAGUAACUAAUCGGAUCGCAUGGGAAUUUCCCGCGACAAACCAUUCAAGUUUCUGCCCCAUCAGCUUUCNAUGGUAGUGUAUUGGACUACCAUGGCUUUUACGGGUAACGGAGGAUUAGGGUUCGAUUCCGGAGAGGGAGCCUGANAAACGGCUACCACAUCUAAGGGAGGCAGCAGGCGCGUAAAUUACCCAAUCCUAAUUCAGGGAGGUAGNGACAAGAAAUAACGGAUCGGGGCUAUGCCCUGGGACUGAAAUGAGAUGAAUUUACACCCCUUUUACGAGAAUCAAUUGGAGGGCAAGNCUGGAAAAA